This 1106-nucleotide ribosomal RNA is filed under the name Vibrio owensii. RNAcentral's name for it is "bacterial SSU rRNA". It matches the Rfam family "Bacterial small subunit ribosomal RNA", at positions 356 to 1454 of the family's 1533-position model. Lineage: Bacteria; Pseudomonadati; Pseudomonadota; Gammaproteobacteria; Vibrionales; Vibrionaceae. The record is from RNAcentral.
GGGGAAUAUUGCCCAAUGGGCCCAACCCUGAUGCAGCCAUGCCGCGUGUGUGAAGAAGGCCUUCGGGUUGUAAAGCACUUUCAGUCGUGAGGAAGGUAGUGUAGUUAAUAGCUGCAUUAUUUGACGUUAGCGACAGAAGAAGCACCGGCUAACUCCGUGCCAGCAGCCGCGGUAAUACGGAGGGUGCGAGCGUUAAUCGGAAUUACUGGGCGUAAAGCGCAUGCAGGUGGUUUGUUAAGUCAGAUGUGAAAGCCCGGGGCUCAACCUCGGAAUAGCAUUUGAAACUGGCAGACUAGAGUACUGUAGAGGGGGGUAGAAUUUCAGGUGUAGCGGUGAAAUGCGUAGAGAUCUGAAGGAAUACCGGUGGCGAAGGCGGCCCCCUGGACAGAUACUGACACUCAGAUGCGAAAGCGUGGGGAGCAAACAGGAUUAGAUACCCUGGUAGUCCACGCCGUAAACGAUGUCUACUUGGAGGUUGUGGCCUUGAGCCGUGGCUUUCGGAGCUAACGCGUUAAGUAGACCGCCUGGGGAGUACGGUCGCAAGAUUAAAACUCAAAUGAAUUGACGGGGGCCCGCACAAGCGGUGGAGCAUGUGGUUUAAUUCGAUGCAACGCGAAGAACCUUACCUACUCUUGACAUCCAGAGAACUUUCCAGAGAUGGAUUGGUGCCUUCGGGAACUCUGAGACAGGUGCUGCAUGGCUGUCGUCAGCUCGUGUUGUGAAAUGUUGGGUUAAGUCCCGCAACGAGCGCAACCCUUAUCCUUGUUUGCCAGCGAGUAAUGUCGGGAACUCCAGGGAGACUGCCGGUGAUAAACCGGAGGAAGGUGGGGACGACGUCAAGUCAUCAUGGCCCUUACGAGUAGGGCUACACACGUGCUACAAUGGCGCAUACAGAGGGCAGCAAGCUAGCGAUAGUGAGCGAAUCCCAAAAAGUGCGUCGUAGUCCGGAUUGGAGUCUGCAACUCGACUCCAUGAAGUCGGAAUCGCUAGUAAUCGUGGAUCAGAAUGCCACGGUGAAUACGUUCCCGGGCCUUGUACACACCGCCCGUCACACCAUGGGAGUGGGCUGCAAAAGAAGUAGGUAGUUUAACCUUCGGGAGGACGCU